Molecule: ribosomal RNA, 406 nt
Filed under: uncultured bacterium
Lineage: Bacteria
Description: bacterial SSU rRNA
Rfam family: Bacterial small subunit ribosomal RNA
Source: RNAcentral
CAACGAGCGCAACCCUCGUCCUUAGUUGCCAGCAGGUUAAGCUGGGCACUCUAGGGAGACUGCCUUCUUAAGGAGGAGGAAGGUGAGGACGACGUCAAGUCAUCAUGGCCCUUACGGCCAGGGCUACACACGUGCUACAAUGGGGCGUACAGAGUGUUGCGAUACCGCGAGGUGGAGCUAAUCACUUAAAGCGUCUCUCAGUUCGGAUUGGAGUCUGCAACUCGACUCCAUGAAGCUGGAAUCACUAGUAAUCGUAGAUCAGCAAUGCUACGGUGAAUACGUUCCCGGGUCUUGUACUCNCCGCCCGUCACACCAUGGGAGUUGAUUUCGCCCGAAAUCGGAAUGCCAAACUGGCUACCGCUUACGGCGGAAUUAGCGACUGGGGUGAAGUCGUAACAAGGUAACC